Molecule: unclassified non-coding RNA, 759 nt
Filed under: Carpetania elisae
Lineage: Eukaryota; Metazoa; Annelida; Clitellata; Crassiclitellata; Hormogastridae
Description: Hormogaster elisae partial contains 16S ribosomal RNA, tRNA-Leu, tRNA-Ala, and tRNA-Ser
Rfam family: Bacterial large subunit ribosomal RNA (bases 1-497)
Source: RNAcentral
UCCUGCCCAGUCACAUAGUUCAUCGGCCACGGUAUCCUAACUGUGCAAAGGUAUCAUAAUCACUUGCCUAUUAAUUGUAGGCUAGAAUGAAAGAAAAAACAAAAUAUAAGCUGUCUCUAUCUAAGAAAAAUAUAAUCUCUAACUGAAGAAUGUAGAUUUAAUCGAAGGACAUGAAGACCCUAUAGAGCUUUAUCUAAACAAGAAACUAUAUCUAUCUAAGAUUCGGUUGGGGCGACCAAGGAUAUUUACAAUCAUCCUUCGUCAAAAGAUUUAUAAAUCUUAAUCUUGAUCCUUAUUAAAAACACAAAAACAAGCUACCUUAGGGAUAACAGACUAAUCCCACUAAAGAGUCCUUAUCUAAGGGGGUGGGGGGCAACUAUACGACGCAAACGUGGCAUAAAAAUGGUUUGUUCAACCAAUAAUUCCCUACAUGAGCUGAGUUCAGGCCGGCGUAAGCCAGGAUAAUUUCUAUCCACGAUAAACAUAAUCUAUUUCUAGUACGAAAGGACCGAAAUAAGAGUAAUUAUUAAAACUAACAAAUUAAUAUAAACUACCUAUAAAUUCAAAAUACUAUAAACUAUAAGUGUUUUGGCAGAAUAGUGCCACUGAUUUAGGAUCGGUUCAUGGGUAAACCCACUCACUAAAGCAACUUAGUUUAUUUAGAAUAAUCAAUUUGCACUUGAUAGGAGAAAAUUUCAGUAGCGGAUUGAUGUUUUGGAAACAAUAGACUAGAAGGUCUACAUAAGCGUUCGACUCAUC